Non-coding RNA from Malus domestica (apple), 2158 nucleotides. The record is from RefSeq and is a predicted model, not a curated record. Lineage: Eukaryota; Viridiplantae; Streptophyta; Magnoliopsida; Rosales; Rosaceae.
UUCACAACCUAACCUACACCCUAACACACCCCUCUCUUUCUCUCUCUCCCUCUCUCCCUCUUAACCUUCUUCGCCGCACUUCUUACGCAGUCUCCGAUUCCAAUUCCCCGACCUCCAAUUCUCCAAUGGCCACCGACACACAGAAGCCCAGCGACCCCAUCACCACCUUAGAAGCCCCAAAGAAAACCCUAGAAUCCUCCCCGGCCCCACCCACCGCCACAAUUUCAGAUCGACCCGAUAAUCCGUCCGCUGACACUCCCUCCGAUCCACCUCCGUCGUCCGAGGUUGACUCCAAAGUAAACGGGUCUAAGGCUGACUCUGAGGAUCCCAAGACUGACUCUGCCACCGGUGACGCGGCUGCUCCGGCUACCGCCAUUGAGAAGAAGAUGCGCCGUGCCGAGCGGUUUGGGAUAUCCGUGCAGCUCACAGAAAAAGAGAAACGCAACUCUCGCGCUGAGAGGUUUGGUACUGUUUCUACAUCACACGGAUCCGAAGCAUCUAAAAAAUCAGAGGACUUGAAGAGGAAGGCUAGAGCAGAGAGGUUUGGGCUUCCUGGCCCUGCUGUGGUGGGUGAUGAGGAUGCAAAGAAGAAGGCUCGUCUUGCUCGGUUUGCUCCUAAUGCCAAACCAGAUGCUAAAACUGAUCCUCAGGAAGAAGAAAAAAGAAAGGCGAGGGCUCUCAGGUUUUCAAACACCUCAAAAGGUUCUCUUACUCAAGUGAAUGAUAAGGGUAAUGUUGAGCAGAAGGCAGCCAUAGCAGGCAGCGCCGGUGGAGAGGUUUGAAGAAAAGCUUCAUUUCUUAGUAGUAAGUUAAAUUUAUGAAAUUUGGGAGAUAGGUAUAGGAUUCUAACAUUUUGUGGUUCCCUCAGAGGCAUCCGUACCCGUAGAUAUCUCUGAUUGCAUGGAUUAUCAGGUGGAGUAUUUUUCAAAUGGUCAAUAGGUAUCUUCUACAAGUUGCUGAACUCAAUUUGGCGGUGUAGGGGUUAUUUCAUGCUUGGUUUGGGCUCCUUUCUCAGAUUUCCUGGUGAGGCUUUCAAUAAUCAACAAUUACCUACUUAGUGUUAACCUACCCUGCAAUUUUACCAAGAAUGUCAGAAAUUCAGUACUUACAACCUAGGGAAAUUUAGUACUAGAGGAUGCUUUAGUGGCAACUUUUGGGUGGUCACUCAUUCAAUUGAUGCAUGGCACAAAGAUAAUAUCUCGUAAUUGUUUAGCUUGCAUAAGCAUGAUGCAGUGUUGAACAGCAGUAGUAUGAGUUUGGUUUGCUAAGUCUACACCUUCUGAGCUGUUAGUACCUGUGCUGAUAACCAACUUAAUCCAUUAAUGUGGGGUCUAGGUCUUAGUUUUCUAAUCAAUUGGUCCUUGUAAUAUUAGUUAUUGGUGGUCAAAUUAUAAACUUUUGAUGGUGUGUUGAAUGGUAAAAACAUGUUAAUUAAGAAUCAAAAGAGUCGAGCUCAUGCACAGUUGAAGAUGGCUGCAAUAAUGGAGUUUCGUUAGGGUGCUAGAUAUCUAGUUUGUUACAGGACCUGUAUAAUUUUUUGACUUGUGUGCUAGCUUAAGUGAAGUGGUUUUUUUUUAUUUGUUUUUUUUUUUUUUUUUUUUGUCUUCUCACCAUCCUGGUUCCGAUUCUAUUAGUUCAUAUUUCUUAAUGCCACUGGGUCGGAUCAGAUUAGUUGAGGUGUAUAGGCAAAUCCUACCAAGUACUGCUGUCCAACACUGCCAUGAAAAACAUGUAUAAGAAGGAUAUAACUGACCUGAAGCUAACUUUUGUUAGAUGGAAAUCUUAAUAUGUCUUAGUUAUUCAUAUUUGCUGAACAGAGGAUUUCUUGAGAUUGUAGUGUUAGAAUUUCUGAUAUUCUUGGUCGAUGAUUUUGGGGCAAGUAAACAAUUUGGAGGUGGUUGUUGGUUUUCUUAAGCCUUGCUCUGUGAGUUCUGCACUCUACAGGUAGGAUACCAGGAACGGAUUGAACUCGUUAAUACUCCGUCAGUUAUUGCUGUGUAAUUUUUAAAUUUUGCAUAGGUAGGUUCCAUUGGAAAAACAUGUAGAAACAUCCACCUCAUGUGGAAAAUCAUGUUUUGUAUUAAGCAUAUUGUGGACGGAAGGACCUGUUAACUUAAUUUUGGAGGGAAUCAUAAAAUGUUAGUUUACAUUCUUCGUC